UUAACGGAGAAUUCCACAUUAUAGAUGGAAUUACGAAAUCCUAAUCUCCAAACUGUACAGUAUAUAAUCAAAUAUCAGAAAUAAAUCCACAACUAACAUGAAAUUAACAGACAUAUUAACAAAAUCCGCAACUAGUUGAGAACCUGUUUACUUAUGAAUGGGUUAAUUUGGGUUGUCUUUUUUAAACGGGUCAAACAGGUUGAAAUAGUUUGCUUUCAAUGCAUACAACCCAUCCUCAAUUUCUAAACUUUUAAGUCAAAGAUUUAAAUUAUUAAUGCAAUAGUCUUGUUUUUGUGGUAGAUUUCCAUAAUUCAGAAUGUGAUUAGCAUAAUUGGGUUGACCCGUUUAGUAAAUGGUUUGAUCUAGAUUAUGCUUUAUUAGUA
RNAcentral lists this long non-coding RNA (383 nucleotides) under Helianthus annuus (common sunflower). RNAcentral's name for it is "sRNA HanXRQr2_Chr16g0771931". Lineage: Eukaryota; Viridiplantae; Streptophyta; Magnoliopsida; Asterales; Asteraceae. The record is from RNAcentral.